CAGCGAUUAAUACAAUCCCCUGUUUAUACUCUCAUAAAUUAGAGAACUCUGCCCCGCCUUUCCUCCACUAUCUUGCUUCCAGUAAACCCUAUUUUUUUUAUCCAAUUUGCCUCUGUCUCACAGAUCGCCAAAUCGCCAUAGCCGGUGACUCCCUCUCCUCUCUUAAUCUCUCACUUCCUUCUCCUCUUCUCGACAGCUCUUCAAUAAAGCUGGCAAGAAUUUCGCUAAUCUUUGUCGUUCCUUUGAUAUAUGUGGAUCAAUUCACCUAGCUUGUAGAUAAUGUUGCGGAUGCAGUUCGGGCACUUUAAACACACGAUGCUGCAAAUUGUCUUGCGGAGGUUUCGCGAGUCUCGUUUGUGUUUGUGCUCCAAGGUUAUAUCUUUUGGGAGAAAAUAUAUAGUUUGUUUGUAAAACCACGUUUCAAAGGGAGGGUGCUCUCACAAUAAGAGACUAUGAUCCUGCCUCAAAAGAAGAUACAAAUAUACUUUUGAUCAUAUUUCUUUUUCCCCUUUCCUCUUCAGCUUUGGAUGGUACUGCCCCUAUUUAUGCGACUCUCAAGCUACUCAAGAUCUUACUUGAUAAGAGGCAAGUCAUAUAUGCCUGGCUUUAUGUUUAAAUUACUUUAUAUUUUGGUGAAUGAUCACUAUACAAAUCACAAAUAUAAUUAAUUAACACCAGGAAUUCUUCCGCAUUUUUGCUCUGCUACUAAAAAUUCUUUUAUGUUUUCAAUUACAACACUUAAUUCUUGGUAAGAAAAAACUUUUAUGUUUUCAUUUACAACACUUAGUUAUGGCUGGAACUAAUUGGAAUUGAAUUGUAAGCUAACCUCACUCCUCAGAACGCAUGCACCAACUUGAUAAAUAUGAACACAAGAAGAGAUAAAUAUUGAUUUAUUUUUAUUAACUGCAAAACUUUUGGGUGGUUGCAUCUGUACAUGACUUGAUUAUAUGAAUUUUGUUCCCAUUUACUUAUAACAGUUGAUACUUUAUAUGGAGAUAGUUGAUGUUAUUGUGCUCGAGCUAAUUGUAACUAGUGUAUAUAUAUAUAUAUAUAUAUAUAUAUAUAUAUAUAUAUAUAUGUGUGUGUGUGUGUGUGGUGUGUGUGUUUGUAUCUUGAUCCUUUUGAGU
This is a long non-coding RNA of Nicotiana tabacum (common tobacco), 1127 nucleotides long. RefSeq lists it as uncharacterized. NCBI's taxonomy places the organism in Eukaryota, Viridiplantae, Streptophyta, Magnoliopsida, Solanales, Solanaceae. The record is from RefSeq and is a predicted model, not a curated record.